Molecule: small RNA, 2241 nt
Filed under: Pyricularia oryzae
Lineage: Eukaryota; Fungi; Ascomycota; Sordariomycetes; Magnaporthales; Pyriculariaceae
Description: Magnaporthe oryzae sRNA M_BR32_EuGene_00128031
Source: RNAcentral
AAAUUGUUUAUAAUUCUUGGAUUUAAAUAACCUUUGUAAAAUGGUAUUUUUUUCGUCGGGAUUUAUAUUAAAUUUCUUCGAUUUUUUUAAUUUUUUUGUGCCGGUUAAAACCCAAUGGAGUUUAUCGCAAUUUUUGGAUUCCCAUCGAUAUUUUUUGCCGUCGGUACUCUUAUAUGGAUAUUGGUAUCCUUAUAAUAAUUUGCUUUGGUUUAAAUUGCCUUCGCUAAAAUUCUUUUGCGAACCAUUUCCUCCCAUUAUUAUAAUAAUUGGGAUUGGUUUUGGGUUUAAUCGGCUAAAUUUUUCUAAUUAUAUAUAUGCUCCGAAGAUCUUUAAGUAUUUUUUAACGUUUAUAAACGGUUUUCCCAUAACCAUUACCUUAUUUAUUUUGUAAAAUUGGUAAAUCCCCCAGGAAACGGACAUUCGCGCCGCGAUUGCUAACAAUAAAUCGGUAACCCCUAUAAUAUUUUGGAUUUCCGGGAUAUUAUAUAUUUUGGCAAACAUAAAUUUUGUUUGCAUAUUUUAUAUCCAAAUUUCCGGAUUUAUACCUUUUUAUUUAAUUUUGUCAAACUGGUUCCGGUAUUUACGGCGUAUUUUAUUUAUUUCCGUGCUUUCCAGGGGAUUAAUUAAAAAUCGAAGAAUGCGGAGGAAAAAUUAGGUAUCCGCCGUUUGUUUCUGCUGUGCCAUAGCAUUCGCCCGCCUUAUAAAGUUUGCAUUUAUUAAUUUGUUAAUUAUAAAAAAAACGUCGAUAUAAUAUUUGGUUACGUCGGGAAUAAAUAAAGCGAGGGCCACGUUAUCGUACCAUUUUCCGAAUUUCUGGUAUAUUGUUAAUUCUUCGUCGAAUUCGCUAUUAAUAUCCAAAUUCAGGCGUUUUCUCCACAUUACCUUCUUUGCUGCAGGGGUUCUGGAAAAAGGGUUUUUGGUGGCUUUAAUAUAAAUGGGGUUGGGUGCAUCCUCGGUUAAAAAGUUAAUUAAAACCCAAAUAUAACGUUUCCUAAUUGCGGUUUUAAUGGAUAAAUACCAUUCCGGCCAUUUUUUCGCUGUGCGCAAAAUAACAGUGGCAAAUUCAAUUUUUUUUUCGGAAAGGUAAAAUAUUAUAAGUGAAUUUGUGGUUUGCGGAUAUAUAGUAAGGAAAAACGUUUAAUGGUAAAUAUUAAAGGAAUAUAGUGCGUAAAUAGGCUAUAUAAUUUGUAAAUAAGGUAAACGAUUUAUAAAACCUUUGGAUUAAACGUCUUCCGGGCUUAUAAUUGUUAUAAACGUUGUUUUUAUUAAAUUUAUUUAAACGAAUAUAUUUAUUUGGUUGGAUUUAUAUAAUCGAACAGAUUUUGGUACAAUACCAGUUUAAUUCUAGGAAAAUAAAAUAAAAAAAUGUCGUGCGCGUUACAAAGUUGUGUUUGAGUAAGGAAACGCGUCAAGUUGAGUAAAUAAAUGUCAGGUGUUUGACAAAGCGCGGAAUUAAAGCCGCUGCUAAUGAUUUAGUUGCAUUUAGCCCAAUUUAAGCUCAGUGUGGCUAAUUGUUUUGUUUAAGGUUGGAAUGCACGCCUUUGUGAUUAAUUGCGGUGGUUUAGUACGCGACAUAUAUUAUUUAAUUAACCGUUGAAUAAAUUCUUCUGCAAAAGAAAUUUCCACCGGUAUAUAAUAAUAAAAUAAUAAAAUAAUAAAACUAAUUUAACGUUUAAAAACUUUUAUUAUAUUUACUAUUUUUAUAAUUUGCAAAAUAUUUUGAAAUUAUAAAUACCAAAGAUAAAAAUAUAAAAUUAGUUACGAGCGAAUUAAAUUUUAAAUUUACAAUUUGUAAAAAUUAUUUAUUAUAAAUUAUUUGCAUUAUAGAAUUAUUUCAUGACGGUAAAUUAGUCGGUCCGUAUUAUUUAAAUAAAUAUAUCUUGCAAAAUAAAAGCGCUAUUACGACCAGAUAGUUGGGCCGGUACCAGAAAGGCCAGGUGGGGCUACACCCCUCCUGACGAUAUUUGUCCAAAGAAAUUACCGGCCGGUAGAAAGAGGAUUAUAUAAAGGAAGGAACACGUAAUAUUACGUAAUCGCCAAAAGGGAUAUAAUUAAUAUAUCGCAUAUUAAAUAUAGCAAAACAAAUAAUAUAUCGGUUAUAAAAUAUAUUAAAUAUAUUAUAUUCGGGACAUAAUUUAUAUAAAAUAUUUUUAUUAUUAUAUAAAAAAAUUCGAUUUUAGAAUUGUUUAGCAGCAAUGAAAUUUUAAUAAAUUCUAAUAUUUAUUUAAAAACGAUUAUAAU